RNAcentral lists this long non-coding RNA (233 nucleotides) under Elaeis guineensis (African oil palm). RNAcentral's name for it is "long non-coding RNA (EGUI_LNC042227)". Lineage: Eukaryota; Viridiplantae; Streptophyta; Magnoliopsida; Arecales; Arecaceae. The record is from RNAcentral.
CACCAUUGUAGAUGUGCGGGCGAGCUAUCGGUGUUGACUGUUCUCGGCUGGUCACAGUGGUUCAGUUGCAUCGAGAACAAGCAACCACUCUAUUAGUAAAGAGUUACUCCAGAGUAAAGACUGGGUUGGGCCCAAUAACUGUUAGGUGAGGGAUCCAAUGACGGCCUUACACCUGCUUGUGAACAGUGGGUCAGGCUUAACUAAGAAGUAUGGACAAUAACUGUUAGGUGAGC